GCAACUUUGUCAAGCAUACUGCGAAAGUCUGGGUUUGCCAUGGUGCUGUUCAGGAUUAUUUGGCCCGUGUCUUGCCAAGGACCUUGCCCACUUGCAAACUCUGUUCCAACAAAAAUUACUGAGGCGGCAAUGGCAGGUGCAACAGACAAAGAACCCUUCAUCAAGGAGAUAGUAAUCGCUUGAUGCUUUUGUACAGCAGCAGAAGAAUAAAUUACUUAUCUAUCUAUGAAGCUGGUUGAGUCAAUAAACUUGUAGAUCUAUGUUUGGAGAUCUCUGUUUAAUUAAAUAAUCUGUAGUCUUUGUUUGGAGACUACAUUAUGGAAA
Olea europaea var. sylvestris is the source of this 324-nucleotide long non-coding RNA. RefSeq lists it as uncharacterized. The record is from RefSeq and is a predicted model, not a curated record. The transcript is spliced from 2 exons. NCBI's taxonomy places the organism in Eukaryota, Viridiplantae, Streptophyta, Magnoliopsida, Lamiales, Oleaceae.